This 253-nucleotide ribosomal RNA is filed under the name uncultured bacterium. Its description in RNAcentral is "partial 16S ribosomal RNA". It matches the Rfam family "Bacterial small subunit ribosomal RNA", at positions 524 to 776 of the family's 1533-position model. The record is from RNAcentral.
UGCGGGGGGUGCAAGCGUUACUCGGAAUCACUGGGCGUAAAGGACGCGUAGGCGGAUUAUCAAGUCUUUUGUGAAAUCUAGUGGCUUAACCACUAAACUGCUUAGGAAACUGAUAGUCUAGAGUAGGGGAGAGGUAGAUGGAAUUCUUGGUGUAGGGGUAAAAUCCGUAGAGAUCAAGAAGAAUACCCAUUGCGAAAGCGAUUUGCUGGAACCUAACUGACGCUGAGGCGUGAAAGCGUGGGUAGCAAACAGG